Long non-coding RNA from Antechinus flavipes (yellow-footed antechinus), 1140 nucleotides. RefSeq lists it as uncharacterized. The record is from RefSeq and is a predicted model, not a curated record. The transcript is spliced from 3 exons. NCBI's taxonomy places the organism in Eukaryota, Metazoa, Chordata, Mammalia, Dasyuromorphia, Dasyuridae.
GUUAGAUAUAGAAUAGAUAGAGAUAGAUAUAAAGUAGAUAGAGCUAGAGAUAGAGAAGAUAGAUAGAUAUAUAGAGAAGAUAGCGAUAAAUAGAGACAGAUUUAGAGAAAGAGAAAUUAGAGAUACUAGUUAUAGAGAUAGAGAAGAUAGUAGAUAGACAUUGAGAGAAAAGAUAGAAAUAGAAAAAGUAGAAAUAGAAGAGAGUGUGAUAGAGACAGAGUGAGACAGAGAAUACAAGGAGGGAGAGUGAGAGAAAGAGAGAGACUGUGUGUGUGUUUGUGUGUGUGUUUUUGUUUGUGUGUGUCUGUUCGUUCCAUAUCCUGAUUCUUCACCCACUAAGGGAUUGCCUUGUUUUUUGCAUCUUCGAGAAGCUCUCAGAGGAAUUCCCUCGGCUUCAACAUGGGGAAGAAAAAUCGGAUAUUGCCCCACGCUCUGACUGGUUUUCACUGCCAGGAGCAGCAGCAUCCCUUACCCCAGGACUGAACUGAUCUCUUGAACUGGAAUCACGGAGCAAAGUGGCCCCAUCUCAGCCACUCAGGUGUGUCUCCCUCAGGCUGGAGGGCGGAAGGCAGGAGUCAUAAGCUCUGAUCUAAAGGGUUUCUGACUGCAAGAACUCCGUCUUGGAACAUGUCUAUGGGCUGUGGUUGGGAGUAGGAAAGGAAUUAGCUUUGGGGUAAAAUCUCAGGAUUGUUCUACUCUGAACUGUAUAAAGGCAAAGGAGUCAUUCUAAUCUCCUGGGAGUCAUUUCUCAUCUGUAAAGUAGAGAUUUCAGGAAAGAUUUCCUCCAAAUGUUCCUGGAACUUCAUAACUCAUUGCUCCCAACGCCCUGAGUACAAAGAUUUAUCUGUAGAUCCUGGAUUUCUACCUUCUCAGGUGGGGAAGAUGGGCCUGCAGGUGUCUCUGUUCUAGUGGUUGGAGAGUGGAAAUCUGUCAUCAAAAUCCUGGACUGAGGAACCUCAGAGGUUCCUUUCAUCACUAACUGAUGGAUGCUAUAAUCCUCCAUAAAGAGUGAGACCCACGAGCAGAGGAAAAUUAUGAGCACUGGACUUUCUAGAAUGACUCUUCCAAAUGGAUGACACUGCGCCCUGAGCAGGAGACCUGGCUCACAAGGACCCUGGUGCAGGGAACUGGAUGAGCAGC